AUUGAACGCUGGCGGCAGGCCUAACACAUGCAAGUCGAGCGGAUGAAGGGAGCUUGCUCCUGGAUUCAGCGGCGGACGGGUGAGUAAUGCCUAGGAAUCUGCCUGGUAGGGGGGGAUAACGUCCGGAAACGGGCGCUAAUACCGCAUACGUCCUGAGGGAGAAAGGGGGGGAUCUUCGGACCUCACGCUAUCAGAUGAGCCUAGGUCGGAUUAGCUAGUUGGUGGGGUAAAGGCCUACCAAGGCGACGAUCCGUAACUGGUCUGAGAGGAUGAUCAGUCACACUGGAACUGAGACACGGUCCAGACUCCUACGGGAGGCAGCAGUGGGGAAUCUUGGACAAUGGGCGAAAGCCUGAUCCAGCCAUGCCGCGUGUGUGAAGAAGGUCUUCGGAUUGUAAAGCACUUUAAGUUGGGAGGAAGGGCAGUAAGUUAAUACCUUGCUGUUUUGACGUUACCAACAGAAUAAGCACCGGCUAACUUCGUG
RNAcentral lists this ribosomal RNA (484 nucleotides) under uncultured bacterium. RNAcentral's name for it is "partial 16S ribosomal RNA". It matches the Rfam family "Bacterial small subunit ribosomal RNA", at positions 30 to 507 of the family's 1533-position model. The record is from RNAcentral.